UAGGGAAUAUUGCACAAUGGGGGAAACCCUGAUGCAGCGACGCCGCGUGAAGGAAGAAGUAUUUCGGUAUGUAAACUUCUAUCAGCAAGGAAGAAAAUGACGGUACUUGACUAAGAAGCCCCGGCUAAAUACGUGCCAGCAGCCGCGGUAAUACGUAUGGGGCAAGCGUUAUCCGGAAUUACUGGGUGUAAAGGGAGCGUAGGCGGUACGGCAAGUCAGAAGUGAAAGCCUGGGGCUCAACCCCGGAAUUGCUUUUGAAACUGUCGGACUAGAGUGUCGGAGGGGUAAGCGGAAUUCCUAGUGUAGCGGUGAAAUGCGUAGAUAUUAGGAGGAACACCGGUGGCGAAGGCGGCUUACUGGACGACCACUGACGCUGAGGCUCGAAAGCGUGGGGAGCAAACA
RNAcentral lists this ribosomal RNA (402 nucleotides) under uncultured bacterium. RNAcentral's name for it is "bacterial SSU rRNA". It matches the Rfam family "Bacterial small subunit ribosomal RNA", at positions 355 to 774 of the family's 1533-position model. The record is from RNAcentral.